Molecule: small RNA, 114 nt
Filed under: Epilithonimonas lactis
Lineage: Bacteria; Pseudomonadati; Bacteroidota; Flavobacteriia; Flavobacteriales; Weeksellaceae
Description: Chryseobacterium halperniae Flavo-1 RNA
Rfam family: Flavo-1 RNA
Source: RNAcentral
AACUAGCCCUGAUUGCAGCGGCAUCCUUUUUUGUUUUUUUGCGCAAUCACUUCUAUUGGAUUGACAAAUGUUCUGAAAAAAACAAAAAAGAUAUAGCGGAAAGCAGGAUUAGCU